AAAAGUAAUUGUGGUUUUUGCC
This 22-nucleotide microRNA is filed under the name Homo sapiens (human). RNAcentral describes it as "hsa-miR-548d-5p". Its record names the gene hsa-miR-548d-5p. The record is from miRBase by way of RNAcentral. Lineage: Eukaryota; Metazoa; Chordata; Mammalia; Primates; Hominidae.